CCUGACAAUUUUAUUUGCAUUCAACAGGCUUUCAGCCAAUUCAAGACUCAGGACAUUUUGAAAACCAUACAUUUGCUCACAUAAUCCGACAAAGGCAAGAAGGAGCAGCAGAAUUUGAUGUUCUGCUACAUCACCAGAAAAUCUUCUACCCAGUAUGCUCAAAGAUACCCUGUUCCCAUCCUGGUUCUCCUUCCUGAUGAGCCAGGACUGAUAGUUCCCAAAAGAAAAAGAGCAAGUUUUUGGUCCCUAAGGCCAGGUUCAUUCCAGGAGCCCAGUUUUAAACAAGAUUAAACAUGCACACAGCUGAAAUCAGACAGGGUACUAUAGCAAUGUUGAAAGAGUGGACUUAAAGCUCAGCUCCUCCCGGACAGCGAAGAUUCAGCCCCCA
RNAcentral lists this long non-coding RNA (388 nucleotides) under Fukomys damarensis (Damara mole-rat). Its description in RNAcentral is "lncRNA (ENSFDAG00000027524.1)". Lineage: Eukaryota; Metazoa; Chordata; Mammalia; Rodentia; Bathyergidae. The record is from RNAcentral.